GCGGCCGUCGUAAAGUGGUAUUACCUCAGCCUUCCAAGCUGAAGUCGUGGGUUCGAUUCCCAUCGGCCGCU
This 71-nucleotide transfer RNA is filed under the name Spirochaetes bacterium DG_61. RNAcentral's name for it is "tRNA-Gly". It matches the Rfam family "tRNA". From Rfam's summary of the family: Transfer RNA (tRNA) molecules are approximately 80 nucleotides in length. Their secondary structure includes four short double-helical elements and three loops (D, anti-codon, and T loops). Further hydrogen bonds mediate the characteristic L-shaped molecular structure. tRNAs have two regions of fundamental functional importance: the anti-codon, which is responsible for specific mRNA codon recognition, and the 3' end, to which the tRNAs corresponding amino acid is attached (by aminoacyl-tRNA synthetases). tRNAs cope with the degeneracy of the genetic code in two manners: having more than one tRNA (with a specific anti-codon) for a particular amino acid; and 'wobble' base-pairing, i.e. permitting non-standard base-pairing at the 3rd anti-codon position. Lineage: Bacteria; Pseudomonadati; Spirochaetota. RNAcentral also lists the same sequence under 4 other names. The record is from RNAcentral.